CCUACGCGCGGCUGCAGUGGGGAAUAUUGGACAAUGGGCGAAAGCCUGAUCCAGCCAUGCCGCGUGUGUGAAGAAGGCCUUCGGGUUGUAAAGCACUUUCAGUGGGGAAGAAAGCCUUGGGGCUAAUACCCUCGAGGAAGGACAUCACCCACAGAAGAAGCACCGGCUAACUCCGUGCCAGCAGCCGCGGUAAUACGGAGGGUGCGAGCGUUAAUCGGAAUUACUGGGCGUAAAGCGCGCGUAGGCGGUCUGAUAAGCCGGUUGUGAAAGCCCCGGGCUUAACCUGGGAACGGCAUCCGGAACUGUCAGGCUAGAGUGCAGGAGAGGAAGGUAGAAUUCCCGGUGUAGCGGUGAAAUGCGUAGAGAUCGGGAGGAAUACCAGUGGCGAAGGCGGCCUUCUGGACUGACACUGACGCUGAGGUGCGAAAGCGUGGGUAGCAAACAGGAUUAGAUACCCCUGUAGUC
Molecule: ribosomal RNA, 465 nt
Filed under: Vreelandella stevensii
Lineage: Bacteria; Pseudomonadati; Pseudomonadota; Gammaproteobacteria; Oceanospirillales; Halomonadaceae
Description: partial 16S ribosomal RNA
Rfam family: Bacterial small subunit ribosomal RNA
Source: RNAcentral